UACGUAGGGGCAAGCGUUGUCCGGAAUCAUUGGGCGUAAAGAGCGUGUAGGCGGUCCGGUAAGUCCGUUGUGAAAGUCAAGGGCUCAACCCUUGAAUGCCGGCGGAUACUGCCGGGCUAGAGUCCGGAAGAGGAGAGUGGAAUUCCUGGUGUAGCGGUGAAAUGCGCAGAUAUCAGGAAGAACACCAAUGGCGAAAGCAGCUCUCUGGGACGGUACUGACGCUGAGACGCGAAAGCGUGGGGAGCGAAC
Molecule: ribosomal RNA, 249 nt
Filed under: uncultured bacterium
Lineage: Bacteria
Description: partial 16S ribosomal RNA
Rfam family: Bacterial small subunit ribosomal RNA
Source: RNAcentral